GAUGAACGCUGGCGGCGUGCCUAAUACAUGCAAGUCGAGCGAACGGACGAGAAGCUUGCUUCUCUGAUGUUAGCGGCGGACGGGUGAGUAACACGUGGAUAACCUACCUAUAAGACUGGUAUAACUUCGGGAAACCGGAGCUAAUACCGGAUAAUAUUUUGAACCGCAUGGUUCAAAAGUGAAAGACGGUCUUGCUGUCACUUAUAGAUGGAUCCGCGCUGCAUUAGCUAGUUGGUAAGGUAACGGCUUACCAAGGCAACGAUGCAUAGCCGACCUGAGAGGGUGAUCGGCCACACUGGAACUGAGACACGGUCAAGACUCCUACGGGAGGCAGCAGUAGGGAAUCUUCCGCAAUGGGCGAAAGCCUGACGGAGCAACGCCGCGUGAGUGAUGACGGUCUUCGGAUCGUAAAACCCUGUUAUUAGGGAAGAACAUAUGUGUAAGUAACUGUGCACAUCUUGACGGUACCUAAUCAGAAAGCCACGGCUAACUACGUG
This 497-nucleotide ribosomal RNA is filed under the name uncultured bacterium. RNAcentral's name for it is "partial 16S ribosomal RNA". It matches the Rfam family "Bacterial small subunit ribosomal RNA", at positions 28 to 507 of the family's 1533-position model. The record is from RNAcentral.